RNAcentral lists this ribosomal RNA (305 nucleotides) under uncultured bacterium. RNAcentral's name for it is "bacterial SSU rRNA". It matches the Rfam family "Bacterial small subunit ribosomal RNA", at positions 333 to 655 of the family's 1533-position model. The record is from RNAcentral.
GCUUCCCUACGGGAGGCAGCAGUGGGGAAUAUUGCACAAUGGGGGGAACCCUGAUGCAGCGACGCCGCGUGGGUGAAGGAGUACUUCGGUACGUAAAGCCCUAUCAGCAGGAAAGAAAAUGACGGUACCUGACUAAGAAGCCCCGGCUAACUACGUGCCAGCAGCCGCGGUAAUACGUAGGGGGCAAGCGUUAUCCGGAUUUAUUGGGUGUAAAGGGUGCGUAGACGGAGAAACAAGUUGGUUGUGAAAUCCCUCGGCUCAACUGAGGAACUGCAACCAAAACUAUUUCCCUUGAGUGUCGGAGG